RNAcentral lists this unclassified non-coding RNA (3427 nucleotides) under Dimorphilus gyrociliatus. RNAcentral describes it as "dgyrCDS11524". The record is from RNAcentral. Lineage: Eukaryota; Metazoa; Annelida; Polychaeta; Dinophilidae.
AUCGUUCGUAUCUGGCUGAUUACGACUAUAGCCUAUAUCGCUUAUUCGCAAUGUUUAAAUAGCCUUGGCUCGGUCAAUAUAUACGUUUAGGACUUUACGUUUGAUAAAAGCGAUUCUAACGCUCUCCGUAUCGUACGGUAUUAAAAAGGGAUGAUGGAAAUAAACUGCAACGACGCAUUAUAAUCGGAAAGAAUUCGCAUGAUUGCGGAUAGAAUGAAUCGGAUGAGUGAUUGACAGGACGAGCUUAGAAUGAGACGACUCUCUCUCUACAUCAACGUCAUUGGGACUCGUGUGAAUUUUAUUGGUUCACGACCGGAUAAUCAAUCAAGUUUUAUAGUCUUAGUUUUAUUUAAUAAUGCGAAUAGCUUAAAAUUUUCUUUUAUAUUUGUACGUUUGAUCCGAAGAUCAUAUUCUCUUAUUUCAGAGGAAGGAAACUCCAUACACAAAAUACUAUAUAGUUGACGAAGCUAUUUUUUUACUAUUGUAAAUACAAUAAGUUAGAUACAUAUAUAGGCCUGAUUAAUCCCCUAUUCAAUGCCGCGUUGAAAGUUUACACAUCAUAAGCCCUCCAUAAACAUUAGGGUAAAACGAAAGAACUUUCCGAUUGUUUAAACCUUAGAUGUAUUAUAUUUAUAUUUCUAUUUAUAAAGGAUAUAACCAAUAUAUAUAUAAUAUAUAAAGUACUUUUUCAAUGACAGAAAUCAAAUUACACGCUUCGAAACGAUAUAAUUAACGGUAGAAAUUAGCGCUAAUUUGUCAAUAAUUGCGUUGAAAUUUCCAUCUGUCAACCGUAAUUUUUGUAUAAAAGUUUGAAAGAGUAUGUAUGAGUGUGUGUGUGUGUAUUUGUCUGAAAGACAGUUUGCUUUCGCUUUUAAGCUUAAUAAAAAGAAAGGAAAAAAUUGUAAAAGAAACAAAAUGGACAAGGUUAAAGGGCACCGUAUUUGGAUACUUGACUGUAAACAAUUGAGGAAUAAGAAACAAGAAUUUUUAGGAGAACUAAUUCUAAAUGCAAAUUUCAUGCAUAACAAUGGCAACGAAUUAAUGAAGUUAACGCGUCAAAGCUUAGCGAAAUUGAUUGAAUUACGUAUUAGAUUAAUUACAGGCGAAAGUGUUACAAGAAACAAAUGAAAUAUAAACAUGACUUAUAUAUAUAUAUGAUGCUAUUACGAAUUUAUUUGUAUAUGAUCCGAUUUUUUGCGUCAAGGGUCGCAUUUUUUAUAGGCAAGAUAUAACAUAAAAUAUUUGUUUACCUAGGCCUAUAUUAUACCGUUCUACAACGUGGCGAAUUCACUCGAAAAGAUUUAUUCUCGUAUGCAAAUAGACCCGUUCGAUAGGAGUGACGGUCUUAGUGGAAGGUUUAAAUAAAUUUCCGGUUUAUUGAGCGUCUGCGUAUAGGCCUAAGAGGAAAGAGAAGGAACGGGUAUAAGUGAAACCGAGAUUGUAUUCUAAUUAUAAAACUACAUAUUCUAUAUCCUCCUACAGCAACUUAUCACCGAGUACAUUUUCGGUGCGCAUUAUUGCAAUUAAUUUCUAUUAUAGGUAUUAGUAGAAUUUGUAAUCUCGUUAAUACUGAAAAGAGGGAUGUUAGAGAGGGAUGGAAUCUUGUAUUUAUUGACAAUUUAUAAGAAUAAUAAGGUAUUUGACAAAAAAGGAAUGUCACGAGAACAGAGAAACGAAGAUAAAGGGAGCUACUGAUUGAUCGGAAAUGGACUGGACUAGCAUAAAGGAUAAACUAAAACGAAAGCAUAAAAGGUCUAUUUUUAUUUUUUAUUAAAUUCAAUAGCAUCUGUAUAAUAUCUGUCACAUUUUUUUGUAAAUAAACAAACACUCCUUAAAGUUCAACCGGAUGAAAUGCAUUUAAUCUACACAUGAGAAAAGUGACACGCGUCUAAGGCUUUGUAUAAAAUGCAGAGCGAAUGCAGCAGUUAUAAACAAAACUUGCAGUACGCCUGUAAUAAACGUAAAGCAUUCUACGAUUUCACGUUCUUCCGUCUACCACUGUUUACAAUUUGCUGUAAUAUGUACUAGAAGGGAGCAGAUCAGCUUUCUAGUUAUUGUUGAUACAUUGAGGCAUUAAUUCAACCUGAAGAUAUUAUUCAUAUCUUUUUUAUCAUAUAGCUUUCUUCUUCUUAUCUGCUUUGUUUAUUUAAAUCAGCAUAAAUUAAAAGCUCUUUCUAUUUAGGUUUCUUAUUUUUGAAAAAAGGCGGUAAAUUUCAAAUUUCACCAGUUAUCCGUGGAUGUAGUAUGGUUCCUGAUCCUAUUGGGUUUUUAUAGAGAAUAUUUAGUAUGAGAUAGAGGGUGACCGAUAUUUUCAAUCGAAAAUGGCGGAAAAAAUAAAAAUUGAUUCUAAAAAUGAGAAAACUGACGAAGAAACACCGUUAAUGACUUCUUCGGAAGUUUUAAAGAAUACUCUAAGAAGUUUGGCAGCAAAAUCCGCACCCAAAUUUGCAAUUCUCUCAAAACUCUUUCCCGGAGCUUUCAAAAAAAAAUUUGACCAGCUAGAAGAAAUAUGGAAUGAUAGCACAAAUGACUAUAAUAAGGAUGUCGAGGAAACAAUUCAUCGUUUGUUAAAUGAUCCUCAGUGUUCCGACGGCAAGUCAUUCUUAGAUCUUGUGAAUGAUCGAGAAAAGCUAGUUGAAGCAUGUUUACAAAAAGAAACUACUGGAGAUGGGAAACCACUUAACCAUAGUCGGAUAGAUUUGAAUGCUUUCGAAAUUAGCGCUCUAAAUGACAAGAAGAAAUCAUUGGAAGAUGCGUUAAAACGGGAGAAAGAUGAAUUAGAGAGAAAGGUGAAAGAAACUGAAGAUAUUCAUAAACAAUUGGAUUCAGUAAGCAGCGAACUGUUACAAAAUUGCUUAGUUUAAUGGAGAAGAGUGGAAAAGAAGGAGAGAGAGAGAGAGAGAGAAAGAGAAGUGGUCGAAAGAAGAGAGUACAUGCAGCAUAUGUAUAUAUCUAUAUCUAUAUAUAUAUAUAUAUUAAACCAUUUUAUAGUUAUACAAACAUAAUAAAAAGAUUUUGUAAUAAGUUGGCCUUUCUUUCUGAAUGGAACAAAGAGGAAAUCGAAUUGAAAAAAAUACGCAUUAAAAGGCAAUAAAAAGUAUGGAUUAUAAAGUAAAAGAUAACUAUGAGCUAUUUUUAUAUGAAUGAAGCAGAGUGAUCUUCGAUCGACCCUCUCGUUUUAGAUAUUUGAGUUGAAUCCCACGUGAAUUUCGUGAAAAAUACCAUCUGGCCUAUGAAGGCGUACAGUUGUCGAUGGGUCGUAAGGCUUCUAGAUGGAAGAAUUCCUUGUACUGCCAAAUAGGCGACUUUGAAGGCAGUUGCUCUCGUCAAAUACACUUGGGAGAAUUAAUGAACGGCGGUGGCAAUUUUUCUGCGCAAUAGUUCUUCUUAAACCUUUAUUUGCGGUACUUAGUCGCAUAACGCCCGC